This 600-nucleotide long non-coding RNA is filed under the name Olea europaea (common olive). RNAcentral describes it as "long non-coding RNA (OEUR_LNC015382)". The record is from RNAcentral. Lineage: Eukaryota; Viridiplantae; Streptophyta; Magnoliopsida; Lamiales; Oleaceae.
GAUUAGUGUCUAAAAGUGUUUCAAAGAUAUAUCAUUUACAAGGCAUUUUACAUUCACUUUGUUUAAAAACGCUAAUGUUAGUCUCUAAUUCCAAUUCUCAUGCCGUAAAUUCAAUUUCCAUAAAUACAUGGUUAAAAAUGCAAUUAAUUGAAAUACGUAUUACAUACAUGGUGGCAUGAGUAUUAUACAUUUGAAAGAGUAUCUAUUUGAUGUAUUUCACAUGUAUUUUUAAUUUAUUACAAGUGGAGCAAGUGGAGGAAAAUAAUGUUGAAAAGUCAAAAAUAGUGACUGCCUCAAGCAAGAAGCAGCUGUUGGUAAAAUAAUCAUAACUUGAGCUACAGACAUUGGAUCGAGGUGAUUCAAGUUGGGUUGGAAAGAUAAGGCACGUUUCUACAACUUUCAUGUUUUGGAAGAAGUCAAAUUCGUAUCACAAGGCAGCCAAAAUUAUCGUACAAAGUCCAGCUUGUUACCUGCUGGAUACAGCUUUACCUGUGAAGCAGCACUUAUUGUUUUUGUCAUAUCUGGAGUUAUAUAGAUCCAAUGAACCUGAUAUUUGAACCAAUGGAAAGCUAACUCAAGUGGUAAUAAUUUGUCUGUUGA